UUUAUAUUCCCUCCGUCUCAAAAUUCUUGUCUUAACUUUAUCUAGAAAUGAACGUAUCUAAAUAUUAAAACUUGACUAGAUACAUUCAUAUUUAAACAAAUUUAAGACAAGAAUUUUGAGACGGAGGGAGUACUAU
Molecule: non-coding RNA, 136 nt
Organism: Hordeum vulgare subsp. vulgare (domesticated barley)
Lineage: Eukaryota; Viridiplantae; Streptophyta; Magnoliopsida; Poales; Poaceae
Source: Rfam